This 201-nucleotide long non-coding RNA is filed under the name Elaeis guineensis (African oil palm). RNAcentral's name for it is "long non-coding RNA (EGUI_LNC076708)". Lineage: Eukaryota; Viridiplantae; Streptophyta; Magnoliopsida; Arecales; Arecaceae. The record is from RNAcentral.
GCAUUAGAAAACUUUAUCCACAUCCCUUCAUUGGCUCUUGGAGCCACUGAAGAGCCUCCUUAUCCUCCCUCCUGCCCACCUUUCCUUCUACUCCAAGAGGCCCCUCUGGCUCUGACUCGUUUGCCAUCGACUAUAGUCCCCACCUCCCUCCUUCCCUCUCCCAAACUCUUCCCUCAAAUAACGAGAGAGAGAGAGAGAGAG